Molecule: small nuclear RNA, 144 nt
Organism: Lontra canadensis (Northern American river otter)
Lineage: Eukaryota; Metazoa; Chordata; Mammalia; Carnivora; Mustelidae
Product: U4 spliceosomal RNA
Exons: 1
Source: RefSeq, a predicted model, not a curated record
AGCUUUGCACAGUGGCAGUAUCGUAGCCAAUGAGGUGUGAUUACUGCUAAUUGAAAAUUUCUCUCAGGAAAACAAAAACAAAAAACAAAACCCCAAACUGUCUAACCUGGGCAGGUUGAUAAGGUUUGUCUGGCCAGAAUGGGU